Molecule: transfer RNA, 106 nt
Filed under: Colletotrichum graminicola M1.001
Lineage: Eukaryota; Fungi; Ascomycota; Sordariomycetes; Glomerellales; Glomerellaceae
Description: tRNA-Met for anticodon CAU
Rfam family: tRNA
About the family: Transfer RNA (tRNA) molecules are approximately 80 nucleotides in length.
Source: Rfam by way of RNAcentral
GUCUCUAUGGCUCAGUCGGUAGAGCGUUGGUCUCAUAUUGUUCUAUAUGACCCUACCUUGAGUUCGGGAUAUCCAAAGGUCGCAAGUUCGAGCCUUGCUAGGGACA